Molecule: ribosomal RNA, 254 nt
Filed under: uncultured bacterium
Lineage: Bacteria
Description: partial 16S ribosomal RNA
Rfam family: Bacterial small subunit ribosomal RNA
Source: RNAcentral
UACGGGGGGUGCGAGCGUUGUCCGGAAUCACUGGGCGUAAAGGGCGCGUAGGUGGCUUGGUAAGCGUGUGGUGAAAGCCCGGGGCUCAACCCCGGGUCUGCCAUGCGAACUGCUAUGGCUUGAGCACUGUAGAGGCAGGUAGAAUUCCAGGUGUAGCGGUGAAAUGCGUAGAUAUCUGGAGGAACACCGGUGGCGAAGGCGACAUCCUGGACCGGUAUUGACGCUGAGGCGCGAAAGCCAGGGGAGCAAACGGG